This 253-nucleotide ribosomal RNA is filed under the name uncultured bacterium. RNAcentral describes it as "partial 16S ribosomal RNA". It matches the Rfam family "Bacterial small subunit ribosomal RNA", at positions 524 to 776 of the family's 1533-position model. The record is from RNAcentral.
UACGGAGGGGCCUAGCGUUGUUCGGAAUUACUGGGCGUAAAGCGCACGUAGGCGGAUUUGUAAGUCAGGGGUGAAAUCCCGGGGCUCAACCCCGGAACUGCCUUUGAUACUGCGAAUCUCGAGUCCGGAAGAGGUGAGUGGAAUUCCUAGUGUAGAGGUGAAAUUCGUAGAUAUUAGGAAGAACACCAGUGGCGAAGGCGGCUCACUGGUCCGGUACUGACGCUGAGGUGCGAAAGCGUGGGGAGCAAACAGG